RNAcentral lists this transfer RNA (74 nucleotides) under Halobacterium sp. DL1. RNAcentral describes it as "tRNA-Gln (TTG) (tRNA-Gln-TTG-1-1)". It matches the Rfam family "tRNA". From Rfam's summary of the family: Transfer RNA (tRNA) molecules are approximately 80 nucleotides in length. Their secondary structure includes four short double-helical elements and three loops (D, anti-codon, and T loops). RNAcentral also lists the same sequence under 1 other name. Lineage: Archaea; Methanobacteriati; Methanobacteriota; Halobacteria; Halobacteriales; Halobacteriaceae. The record is from RNAcentral.
AGUCCCGUGGUGUAGCUGGCCAAUCAUCUGGGCCUUUGGAGCCCAGGACGGCGGUUCGAAUCCGCCCGGGACUA